GGGUCUCUUCCAAAGUUUUCCUAGGUCUUCCUCUACCCCUUCGGCCCUGAACAUCUGUCCCGUAAUCACAUCUUCGAACCGGAGCGUCAGUAGGCCAUAUUUGCACAUGUCCAAACCAUCGUAACCGAUUUUCUCUCAUCUUUCCUUCAAUUUCGGCUACUCCUACUUUACCUCGGAUAUCCUCAUUCCCAAUCUUAUCCUUUCUCGUGUGCCCACACAUCCCACGAAGCAUCCUCAUCUCCGCUACACCCAGUUUGUGUACGUGUUGAUGCUUCACCGCCCAACAUUCUGUGCCAUACAACAUCGCUAGCCUUAUUGCCGUCCUAUAAAAUUUUCCCUUGAGCUUCAGUGGCCUACGACGGUCACACAACACUCUGAAUGCAUUCUUACACUUCAUCCAUCCGGCUUGUAUUCUAUGGUUGAGAUCUCCAUCUAAUUCUCCGUUCUCUUGCAAGAUAGAUCCUAGGUAGCGAAAACUGUCGCUUUUUGUGAUCUUCGCUAGAUUGCUCCGGUCAUUAGUGUGGAUAAGUAUAUAAAUGGAUAGAGAUAGGAAAGCAAACACAAGAUGUACGUGGUUCACCCAGAUUGGCUACAUCUACGGAAUAGAGGAGUUCUCAUUAAUUGUGAAGGGUUUACACAAGUACAUAGGUUCAAGCUCUCCUUUAGUGAGUACAAGUGAAUGAUUUAGUACAAAUGACAUUAGGAAAUGUUGUGGGAGAAUGAUCUCGUAAUCACGAAACUUCUAAGUACCGGAGUGUGGUAUCUUCUUGACUUGCUUUAUCUGUCUCAUAGGUAGAUGUGGCAUCUUCUCUGGAAGUACUCUUCCUCCAUCCAGGGGUGGUAUCUUUAACUGGUGGAGAUGCACAAGGUAAUGUAUCAAUUUCACUUGAAGCUUACUUGUAGUUUCAGGCUUGGUCAAGCGCGAUACAAGGUAAGCAAUCAGAGCUCUGGCUGAUUGUUCACAUUCUCCCUAUCUUGCAGGCAGCAUGAAGGAUAAAGAGAAGAAAAAUGAGAAGAGAUGAUAUGAGAUACUUUUGCUUUUGAAGAAGUAACUUUCCACAAGCUUAUUCUUGAACUGGCUUGAGGGUUUUCUGGUUUCCUCCAGAGUAUAAGGCCGACUGAAGAAUUUGAGGGUCAAAACAAGUCCAUCAAAUCUAGAGUACGUUCGACCCUGUUGAUAUGGGAUACUUUUGCUUUUGACAGAGUAGUGGAUGUAUCGGCACGUGUGCUGUUACGCUUGUCUCCACAUGCUUCCUUGUAUCCUUCUCACUUGCCCUAUCUGUUCCUCAGGCAAAUGCAAUAUCUUCCCAAGAAGCAUAAGAUGUUGAAGAUGAGUACUCGAGAGUAAUGCCAGGUAAGUAAUCAGGUAAGGGGUUCCAGGCAGUCAGUUCCUGGCUGGAAGCUUGAUUCCAAGUGCUGACUGAUUGCUCUCUUUCUCCUUGUCUUGCAGGUAAGAACAAGGCCAAAGGAAAAGACAGGGAAAAAGCAUGAUAUGGGAUACUCUUGCUUUUAACCCUGAUGAUAUGAGAUAUUCUUGCUCUAGUAUAGCUUGUUUGCAGAGGUAUUAUCGGGGGGAAAGAAAGCUGAAUAUUUUGAAAGGCUUUGUUGGGAGUGCCCUCUUAGAUAUGAGGAAGGGUUGAGCAUUUUUGCAGGUCUGCCUGUCCGUUAGGGAUGGAGGUCGACAUAUAUAGGAGUCUCCCUAACAACAAGUAGUAAUGUUAUUCUUUUACCCUGCUUGGUCAUAGCACGGUAGUGGGAGCUGCCAGCUUCACAUGUUUUAACUCUAUCAGAGCACUUUGAAAAAGUGGUCUGUGGUAUCUGAAAAGCUAAUGUUGCGUGUGAAGAUUACAGACAAGCUUUAUUCAAGGAGAUCCGGCUCUUGAAGUUGGGAAAGUGGUGCCUCUUCGGUUUUCGAACAAGCAAUCUUGUCGGGGAUCUGGCUCUCGAGAUUCGGAGAACGAUGCCUCUUCAAUUUUUGAGAAAGCAAUCCUGCUAGGGGUCUGGCUCUCGAGAUUCGGAGAGCGGUGUCUCUUCGAUUUUUAAGAAAGUAAUCAUGUUGGGAGUCUGGCUCUCGAGAUUCGAAGGGCGAUGCCUCUUCGAUUUUGGAGCAAGCAAUCUUGUUGGGAGUGUUUUCUCGAAUGUGAGUAAAGGUUGGGCAUGUUUGCUGGUCUACCUUGCCACGAAGCACAGAGGUUGACACACAGAGACUUUCCAAUUAUCCAGCAGUGGUACUGUUCCUUUACCCUUAUGGGUAAUAAUAUAGUAACUAGACCUUCAAAAUUUAUGUGUCUAAACUUUGUUAGUGCUGUUUCUUUGCUAUUCUUUUACCCUUCUUGUUCAGAGCGAUGUAGUGAGAGCUGCAAGUUUCACGUGUCUCAACUUUGUCAGAGAACUUUGGCAAAGUUAUCUGUGGUACCCAUGAGCUACUGUUGCGUGUGGGAAGUGAGUGAUUGAACAAUAAGAUUCAUGUGCUUUCUACUUCACCAGAAAUCUUCGACAGAAUGCCCAUAAUUUCCGCAAAGCUGAGUAUGCGUGUGACAGGUGCUGACAAGGCUGGAAAAGUAGGUGCCUCUUCGAUUUCUGAGAUCGGCCCUCGUGGUCUCUGAGCAGCCCAGCUUUUGAGAAAGCAAGCGCAUCUUCGAUUUCUGAGAUCAGCCUUCGUGGUCUUUGAGCAGCCCAACUUUUGAGAAAGCAAACGCCUCUUCGAUUUCUGAGAUCGACCCUCGUGGUCUCUGAGCAACCCAGCUUUUGAGAAAGCAAACGCCUCUUCGAUUUCUGAGCAGGCGCCUCUUCGAUUUCUGAAGCUCCGUCGAGUGUAGAUUUUUAUAGGGGCUGGCAUUAAGUUCCAAAGCACACUUGAAUCUCCACCAGUAGAAGCUCCAUUCUUGCACUUCUAAGAUCUUGAUUUGUCCGACCUCUUCUCUCUUCAACACCUUUGAAAAUGUCUGGCCCCUCCGACCGUCGUUUUAACUUGAACCUUGUUGAAGAGGCAGCCCCGCCUUCUCCAGACAACAUAUGGCGCCCAUCCUUCGUCUCCCCUACUGGUCCUCUUACCGUUGGGGAUUCUGUGAUGAAGAAUGAUAUGACCGCUGCGGUGGUGGCCAGGAGCCUUCUCACUCCCAAAGAUAACAUACUACUUUCCAAACGGUCUGAUGAGUUGGCUGUUAAGGAUUCUCUGGCUCUCAGUGUUCAGUGUGCAGGUUCUGUGUCUAAUAUGGCCCAACGCCUAUUUGCUCGAACCUGCCAAGUUGAAUCAUUGGCGGUUGAAGUGAUGAGUCUCAAACAGGAGAUUAAAGGGCUCAGACAUGAGAAUAAACAGUUGCACCGACUCGCACAUAACUAUGCUACAAACAUGAAGAGGAAGCUUGACCAGAUGAAGGAAUCUGAUGGUCAGGUUGUACUUGAUCAUCAGAGAUUUGUGGGUUUGUUCCAAAGACAUUUAUUGUCUUCGUCUUCUGAGGCUGUACCGCGUAAUGAAGCUCCAAAUGAUCAACCUCUGAUGCCUCCUCCUUCUAGGGUUCUGUCCAGUACUGAGGCUCCGAAUGAUCCCCCUCUGGUGCCUUCUCUUUCUAGGGCUCUACCGACUGCUGAAACUUCUCCUAAGCAACCUUUGUGAAGGCUCUCUCUUGUUUGUUUAUUUUGACUCAUGUAUAUGUACAUAUUUGUAACUUAUCGGGAAUAUCAAUAAAUAAGCUUUCCUUCAUUUCAACGUAUUGUGUUAAAUACACCAAAGCCUUCUUCGCUAAGUUCUUUGAAUUUUCUUUUAUUGAAGCUUGUAAGUUGAAGCUUUGUGAGUAGAGCAUGUAGGUUGAGGUAGUGUUCCCUUAAUUUCCCGAGUGAGGAAAAUUUCUCGGUUGGAGACUUGGAAAAUCCAAGUCAAUGAGUGGGAUCGGCUAUAUGAAUCUUAGAACGCCAUUGUGCUCGGUCCUGUGUCAUGUCCUCCGUUAGAUCCAAGUACUUUAAGUCUUUUCUUAGAGUCUCUUCCAAAGUUUUCCUAGGUCUUUCUCUACCCCUUCGGCCCUGAACCUUUGUCCCAUAGUCGCAUCUUCUAAUCGGAGCGUCAGUAGGCCUUCUUUGCACAUGUCCAAACCACAGUAACCGAUUUUCUCUCAUCUUUCCUUCAAUUUCGGCUACUCCUACUUUACCCCGGAUAUCCUCAUUCCUAAUCUUAUCCUUUCUCGUGUGCCCACACAUCCAACGAAGCAUCCUCAUCUCCGCUACACCCAUUUUGUGUACGUGUUGAUGCUUCACCGCCCAACAUUUUGUGACAUACAGCAUCACCGGCCUUAUUGCCGUCUUAUAAAAUUUUCCCUUGAGCUUCAGUGGCAUACGGCGGUCACACAACACGCCGGAUGCACUCUUCUACUUCAUCCAUCCAGCUUGUAUUAUAUGGUUGAGAUCUCCAUCUAAUUCUCCGUUCUUUUGCAAGAUAGAUCCUAGGUAACGAAAACGGUCGCUCUUUGGUAUUUCUUGAUCUCCGAUCCUCACCCCUAACUCGUUUUGGCCUCCAUUUGCACUGAAUUUGCACUCUAUAUAUUCUGUCUUUGAUCGGCUUAGGCGAAGACCUUUAGAUUCCAACACUUCUCUCCAAAGGUUAAGCUUUGCAUUUACCCCUUCCUGAGUUUCAUCUAUCAACACUAUAUCGUCUGCGAAAAGCAUACACCAAGGAAUAUCAUCUUGAAUAUGUCAUGUUAACUCAUCCAUUAUCAACGCAAAAAGGUAAGAACUUAAUGAUGAGCCUUGAUGUAAUCCUACAGUUAUGGGA
This 4765-nucleotide long non-coding RNA is filed under the name Malus domestica (apple). RNAcentral describes it as "long non-coding RNA (MDOM_LNC010061)". The record is from RNAcentral. Lineage: Eukaryota; Viridiplantae; Streptophyta; Magnoliopsida; Rosales; Rosaceae.